CGCACCUUGCACCCUUUGGUAUUCCGAAGGGUAUGCCUGUUUGAGUGUCAUUAAAUUCUCAACCUUACAAUCUUUGUUGCUUGUAAGGCUUGGAUGUGAGGGUUAUUGCUGGCUUCCUUAAGUGCGACGGUCAGCUCCCUUGAAAUGUAUUAGUGGAAUCCCUUGUGGAACUACUUGAGUGUAAUAAUUAUUGUGCUCUUGCUGUGAAACAAAUCUAUAGUGGAAUCUGCUUCUAACCGUCUUGCUACUGAGACAAUUUACUUGACAAUUUGACCUCAAAUCAGGUAGGACUACCCGCUGAACUUAA
RNAcentral lists this unclassified non-coding RNA (307 nucleotides) under Mycena sp. RNAcentral's name for it is "partial contains 5.8S ribosomal RNA, internal transcribed spacer 2, and large subunit ribosomal RNA". The record is from RNAcentral. Lineage: Eukaryota; Fungi; Basidiomycota; Agaricomycetes; Agaricales; Mycenaceae.